Acanthochromis polyacanthus (spiny chromis) is the source of this 1173-nucleotide long non-coding RNA. RefSeq lists it as uncharacterized. The record is from RefSeq and is a predicted model, not a curated record. NCBI's taxonomy places the organism in Eukaryota, Metazoa, Chordata, Actinopteri, Pomacentridae. The transcript is spliced from 3 exons.
AGGUGCGGUCAGAAAUAGCAAUAAAGUCACAAACGUCCAGAAGUGGGACAAGGAGCACCAGUGGUGGAAAUUCAUCAAGUGGACUGGGGUUUUUGUGGAAACUGAGAAGAGGAAGAGAUGGGUACAACGUGUCAUCUGGUGCAUCCGCUGAAAAUCACUCUUUAUCCAACACUUGAUAAUCUGUGAAAUCAGCACUGGCCAAUCAGAAUGACUAUUAGCCAAGGAAAAGCUGGGUUUGACAUUUGGAAAAAUUAACAAUUUAUUAAUUCUUUCAUCCUCUGAAAAUUAUAUUUUGUUUUACAUGUUCUUACAACAACAGUAUAUAAAUGCAUACCAGCAAAAUAUACACUGCAUAAUAUUUGUUCAAUGCAUAGUACUGAAUGUAAUGUUUUUUUUAAGAUAUUUCAUGUGAAAGUCAAUAGCUUUUUGCACUUUGUAACACUUGUGUUUGUGUGUGUUUACACAGGCUGUGAUAAAAUACGAUGAGAGUUUUCAUUUACACUGUCUGUCUUGCCAUUUAAUAUUCAUUACACUAAUCUGAAGUAAGAAGAGACUACAAAAAAUAUACCGGUAGGCUUUUGUUUUAGUUGACUGUCCACAUCAAAUCAGUUUAACAGGGCAAGACUGCUGGACACAAAUCAGCAGUCAGAAUGUCAACUUGGCCUGGACAGUCCUCAAAAUAGUUCCAGAAGGUUAGCCUAUGAGCAGGAAUUCCCCUUUUUUAUUGAUAAGCAGCAUGUGCUGUUUGUGUUAGCACAGUUAUUGACAGAUAUCAGGUCAGAGGUGCACUUUAUUUAAGCUUCACACACAAUAUACUAAAUGCAUGUUCUGUUUGUUAUUUGACAAUUCUACAAUUCCAUUUAGCGGACGCUUUUAUCCAAGGGGACAUAAAUCUGAGAGUAGAAACAACAUGAGGUACCUCACUGGACAUCCCAGACAGGGGUGUUAGUCACUGAGUUAUCCAGAUGUUACCCAUUUGUUGCCAUAAUAUAUGUGAUAUAAAGUAUUUUCAUGUAGUUUUAACAUGCCUAAAUUUUAUCUGUAAUGAGUAGUGUAUAAUAAACCUUCAGUAUGUUUUCAAUACAUAAUUAUGUCUUGAAUUUGUUGAACAACAUAUGUAUGAGUUCUUUAAAUUAUGUAUUUGUGUUGAGUGAUUAUGCACUAGAAAUUACA